CAACACGCGAUUUUACACCGAUCCACAAUAAUAUAACAAAUAAAUAAAUAAACAAUACCGAUUCCCUAGCGAUCUCGCGACUCCAUGAUUAUGAUUCGUGGAUUUUAUAAUGAUCUUAGAUCUACGCUCUAAAGGCAAUCCUAGCAGAUCCACAACCAAUUCGAUUGCUUUGAUUGUCAUGCGUGAAUCGUGACGUCUGACUAGACACAACUCGCUACGCGGCGCGGAUGACUCGCCGAGCGCGGCUCGUGCCGGAUAGCCCCACCUCCGUGCCCGUCGGAGUGGGGAGCGUGAGGUUUUUUCGGAAUUACGGAAUUUCUGGAUUUGGUCCCCGCGCUCAAGGCCUGCGAUAGAAGCUAUGCAAUAGCUUAAAAGCGGCUGCAAGUUGUGUAGCUUAGUCAGUCUUCCGGUCCCGUUCGUGCGAGAUACUGCCAGAGGUCCUGACGAGUUAUCCCGAGUCCCGGCGCGAUCUUCAUCGUAUAUUUAUCAGACCGACGCAGACUUUCGGAUCGCAACCGUUCAUAACAAAACGGAUUAUUGCAGUCUCACCGCGAAAUUCCGCGAAUUUGAUGAGCGCUUCAUAUAACUGGUCAAUCCAGGUUGUUGAGUCCGCGAUCCUAAAUCUAUAAACUCCAUAGGCAUUCAAAGGCUUGGAUCCUUCAAAAUUAUAGGGAUCCCAAUUUGCACAAACGAAAUUUUAUAUGGAUCAUCGCAUUCGCUGUUACAUUGGCAUAUUAGCCGAGACUGGUGUAUGUCGAUUCGCCCGUAAGAUGUUUUCGUGUUCUUCAGCAAUAGACAUGAACGAGUUCUACAAUGUAGACUACUGCUCGCUCUUCCCAAACUAUGGAAGCCCAUCCGCCAGGAUUCUGAGCGUUUACAUUGACUGUAGUAUACCGAAGCGACAUACAUUGAAACUACGCUUCAGACUACGCCAGCGUUCAAGCUGAUUCUUGCUCUUAUUUAUGUAUAUGAGAAACAGGAUACAAUGAGAUGCGAAGUGUGUCUGCAGUCACUGAAUCCGGGAUCUGGUUAUGAAGAACAUGUUUCUAGGCACUUUACCAGAUCUGUGAAAAGUUGAUGAAUAAUUAAGAAUCUACAUAGAGGAUUUUAACCAAGACAUUAUGAUUAUAAUUAUGUGCCCAAUAAGUAUUAAAAAUAAAUGUUCUAUAAAACUUAUUUCUGUGUGUUUUAUUUAUUUAAAAUUACAAAAACAUUGAAAAUCUUUAUAAUUCAAG
This is a long non-coding RNA of Helicoverpa armigera (cotton bollworm), 1235 nucleotides long. RefSeq lists it as uncharacterized. The record is from RefSeq and is a predicted model, not a curated record. The transcript has 3 exons. Lineage: Eukaryota; Metazoa; Arthropoda; Insecta; Lepidoptera; Noctuidae.